UUUUAAUUAAAAAUAAAAACUAAAAAAUUAAAUAAAAAGAUAAAAUAUAACUGUGGUACUUUCAAAGCAAGUUCAUUCGAAAACCAGAAUCGAAACUCUCGUAUACCAAACAUACACUGCAACGACCCGACCCACUAGCAAUAAUAACUCGUUGGGCCCAAACCACCGGCCCAAAAUGCUUAAGCCUGAUUAUUAUUACUAGGGUGUAGGUCUCUGUUUAGACCCUGACGUUCUCGUUGGGUCCAAAUCAGAUCACAGACAGACUAGGAUCAUUACCAGACGAUGUGAGAUUCUAGAGGUGACUCCCACCAAACCCGUUGGUGUAGCACUUUGUCCCGUAUAGCACUUAGUUCUCACACUUCCGGCUGGUAUUCGGCUCUGAUACCAAUUGCAACGACCCGACCCGCUAGUAAUAAUAACUCAAUGGGCCCAAAUCACCGGCCCAAAAUGCUGAAGUCCGAUUAUUAUUACUAACGUGUAGGUCUCAUAUAAACUGAUUGGAAUCAGUAUCCCAUUCGAUGUGGGACUAUUGGGGGUGUUACAUAUACAAACGGAGCAAUCCAUUUUCAUUCUGAAUUCUAAUUCCU
RNAcentral lists this long non-coding RNA (587 nucleotides) under Ananas comosus (pineapple). Its description in RNAcentral is "long non-coding RNA (ACOM_LNC040218)". The record is from RNAcentral. Lineage: Eukaryota; Viridiplantae; Streptophyta; Magnoliopsida; Poales; Bromeliaceae.